Molecule: ribosomal RNA, 253 nt
Filed under: uncultured bacterium
Lineage: Bacteria
Description: partial 16S ribosomal RNA
Rfam family: Bacterial small subunit ribosomal RNA
Source: RNAcentral
UACGUAGGGUGCGAGCGUUAAUCGGAAUUACUGGGCGUAAAGCGUGCGCAGGCGGUAAGUUAAGUCUGAUGUGAAAGCCCCGGGCUCAACCUGGGAAUGGCAUUGGAAACUGGCUUGCUAGAGUGUGGCAGGGGGGGGUGGAAUUCCGCGUGUAGCAGUGAAAUGCGUAGAGAUGCGGAGGAACACCGAUGGCGAAGGCAGCCCCCUGGGCCGACACUGACGCUCAGGCACGAAAGCGUGGGGAGCAAACAGG